UACGUAGGGGGCUAGCGUUGUCCGGAAUCAUUGGGCGUAAAGAGCGUGUAGGCGGCCCGGUAAGUCCGCUGUGAAAGUCGGGGGCUCAACCCUCGAAUGCCGGUGGAUACUGUCGGGCUAGAGUGCGGAAGAGGCGAGUGGAAUUCCUGGUGUAGCGGUGAAAUGCGCAGAUAUCAGGAGGAACACCCGUGGCGAAGGCGGCUCUCUGGGACGGUACUGACGCUGAGACGCGAAAGCGUGGGGAGCGAACAGG
This 253-nucleotide ribosomal RNA is filed under the name uncultured bacterium. Its description in RNAcentral is "partial 16S ribosomal RNA". It matches the Rfam family "Bacterial small subunit ribosomal RNA", at positions 524 to 776 of the family's 1533-position model. The record is from RNAcentral.